GAUGAAGAACGCAGCGAAAUGCGAUACGUAAUGUGAAUUGCAGAAUUCAGUGAAUCAUCGAGUCUUUGAACGCACAUUGCGCCCCCUGGUAUUCCGGGGGGCAUGCCUGUCCGAGCGUCAUUGCUGCCCAUCAAGCACGGCUUGCGUGUUGGGUCCCGUCCCCCUCUCCCGGGGGACGGACCCGAAAGGCAGCGGCGGCACCGCGUCCGGUCCUCGAGCGUAUGGGGCUUUGUCACCCGCUCUUGUAGGCCCGGCCGGCGCUUGCCGACACCCAACCAUUUUUUUCAGGUUGACCUCGGAUCAGGUAGGGAUACCCGCUGAACUUAAGCAUAUCAAUAAGCGGAGGA
RNAcentral lists this unclassified non-coding RNA (347 nucleotides) under soil metagenome. Its description in RNAcentral is "partial contains 5.8S ribosomal RNA, internal transcribed spacer 2, and large subunit ribosomal RNA". The stretch from base 1 to 120 matches the Rfam family "5.8S ribosomal RNA", at positions 35 to 154 of the family's 154-position model. The record is from RNAcentral.